AAAACAACUUUGUUUAUACGAGAUGCAGUUUCGUAAGGAUUGAUAUAGUCAAACUCUAGAUCAGUUAAGGAGAUGAGCUGGAAAAUAACCAUAACAAGUAUAGCUACGACUAUGAAGAAGAAGAGUAGCCAUAUCAGCAUAUCUCCCAUUGUAGCCUACUGGCGCACGAUAAGAUUGAAGAUCCUUGAUCGUUGAUCGGUACGCCGGCUGCGUAUUGCGCCACCAGUUUGUUUAUCGGAGGUGAAAUUCUGGACCGGUGCCGGAGUCAAUAGUUCCGGG
RNAcentral lists this unclassified non-coding RNA (279 nucleotides) under Hevea brasiliensis (rubber tree). Lineage: Eukaryota; Viridiplantae; Streptophyta; Magnoliopsida; Malpighiales; Euphorbiaceae. The record is from RNAcentral.